UAGGGAAUCUUCGGCAAUGGGGGGAACCCUGACCGAGCAACGCCGCGUGAGUGAAGAAGGUUUUCGGAUCGUAAAGCUCUGUUGUUAAGGAAGAACGAGUGUGAGAAUGGAAAGUUCAUACUGUGACGGUACUUAACCAGAAAGGGACGGCUAACUACGUGCCAGCAGCCGCGGUAAUACGUAGGUCCCGAGCGUUGUCCGGAUUUAUUGGGCGUAAAGCGAGCGCAGGCGGUUAGAUAAGUCUGAAGUUAAAGGCAGUGGCUCAACCAUUGUAGGCUUUGGAAACUGUUUAACUUGAGUGCAGAAGGGGAGAGUGGAAUUCCAUGUGUGGCGGUGAAAUGCGUAGAUAUAUGGAGGAACACCGGUGGCGAAAGCGGCUCUCUGGUCUGUAACGGACGCUGAGGCUCGAAAGCGUGGGGAGCGAACAGG
This 429-nucleotide ribosomal RNA is filed under the name Bacteroidota bacterium. Its description in RNAcentral is "Bacteroidetes bacterium partial 16S ribosomal RNA". It matches the Rfam family "Bacterial small subunit ribosomal RNA", at positions 355 to 776 of the family's 1533-position model. The record is from RNAcentral. Lineage: Bacteria; Pseudomonadati; Bacteroidota.